CUACGGGCGGCAGCAGUGGGGAAUAUUGCACAAUGGGCGCAAGCCUGAUGCAGCCAUGCCGCGUGUAUGAAGAAGGCCUUCGGGUUUUAAAGUACUUUCAGCGGGGAGGAAGGGAGUAAAGUUAAUACCUUUGCUCAUUGACGUUACCCGCAGAAGAAGCACCGGCUAACUCCGUGCCAGCAGCCGCGGUAAUACGGAGGGUGCAAGCGUUAAUCGGAAUUACUGGGCGUAAGGCGCACGCAGGCGGUUUGUUAAGUCAGAUGUGAAAUCCCCGGGCUCAACCUGGGAACUGCAUCUGAUACUGGCAAGCUUGAGUCGCGUAGAGGGGGGUAGAAUUCCAGGUGUAGCGGUGAAAUGCGUAGAGAUCUGGAGGAAUACCGGUGGCGAAGGCGGCCCCCUGGACGAAGACUGACGCUCAGGUGCGAAAGCGUGGGGAGCAAACAGGAUUAGAUACCCCCGUAGUC
RNAcentral lists this ribosomal RNA (464 nucleotides) under uncultured bacterium. Its description in RNAcentral is "partial 16S ribosomal RNA". It matches the Rfam family "Bacterial small subunit ribosomal RNA", at positions 339 to 795 of the family's 1533-position model. The record is from RNAcentral.